AAAAAAACUGAAAGGAUAAGGUGGAGCGAGCAGAUGACAGCAUUCAGAUAAAAAGGUGUUUUGCGCGGGGGAGCGACUAUUUGAGACGCGCAAAGGGCCACAUGCUGCCUCACAUCGGGACCAUGCAGACCACCUCCAGCCUGCUGAGCGAGGCGCUGCUCUGCGCACUGCUGCUGCUCUCCAGCACCAGAGGAGCCGAAGUGUUGGACACCGAGUCCGAAGAGGAGCUGAGCCCCAGAGCUCUGCGGGACUUCUACCCCAAAGGUCCGAACCUGACCAGUGAGAAGCAGCUGCUUGGAGCUCUCCAUGAAGUUCUGGAAAAGCUGCAGGCUAAACGACUGCCUUCAUGGGAAAAGAAAUUUGGCCAAGUCCCAACGUGUGAUAUCGGGGAGCAGUGCGCCGUGCGUAAAGGCGCUCGGAUCGGCAAGAUGUGCGACUGUCCCCGGGGAGCUUUCUGCAACUUUUUCCUGCUAAAGUGCUUAUGAGCAUCGCUGGAUCUGAAUGUAGCACUGCAAAGAGAAAACUUCACUCGAUUCCUUUAUCCCAGUCAAUAUUUGAAGAAUGACGUGGAUCUGACAAUGAGCUGUGACGUCACACCCAACGGGUUGCUGCCAGGCUCCUUCAUUGUCAAUAACCAGGGCGGGCUCAUGAUUAAAUCCCAAUUGUGCUGCAGAGGAAGUAGUUAUAUUAAGAAGCAGAGAGAGACUGUCACAGCACAAUCUGAGCCCCAGGAGCUGCCCCAGGCUGUUUACCACAUCACACGCAUGAAAGAAGAUUAACCUGCAGAACAUUCAUUCAGAUUAGACUGACCUAAAACUCAAGAAAAUAUCUUUAUUUUAUUCAUGGGAAAUAUUUUUAACCUCUUAUUUAAGCUUUAAUGUCAACAUUUCGAUUUGGAUUUGCAGCUUUGACUUAAAGUCCCUCUUCUUCAAACAAAACUGUGUUAUGCCUUUUGUCUUUUUUUUUACUGGGAUGUUUGACCUUCACUGCAGAAUGAUGCUAACAUCAAUCUGAAGUGCCUAACCCUUAAAUCUGAGUUGAAGACAUACACGAAUAAAUGUUGUGAUAUCAAAACUUGUAAGCCAAUCAUGAUCGUUUAUGCAACUGGAAUGUACCCUCAUGUGUCAUAUCUCUGCUAUGAUAAUAAUAAAUAACCAAAUAAUGGUAAAUAAG
Notothenia coriiceps (black rockcod) is the source of this 1173-nucleotide RNA transcript. It is a transcript of the gene named cocaine- and amphetamine-regulated transcript protein-like, with no coding region annotated. The record is from RefSeq and is a predicted model, not a curated record. Lineage: Eukaryota; Metazoa; Chordata; Actinopteri; Perciformes; Nototheniidae. The transcript is spliced from 4 exons.